This 333-nucleotide unclassified non-coding RNA is filed under the name soil metagenome. Its description in RNAcentral is "partial contains 5.8S ribosomal RNA, internal transcribed spacer 2, and large subunit ribosomal RNA". The stretch from base 1 to 120 matches the Rfam family "5.8S ribosomal RNA", at positions 35 to 154 of the family's 154-position model. The record is from RNAcentral.
GAUGAAGAACGUAGCGAAAUGCGAUAAGUAAUGUGAAUUGCAGAAUUCAGUGAAUCAUCGAAUCUUUGAACGCACAUUGCGCCCAUUAGCAUUCUAGUGGGCAUGCCUGUUCGAGCGUCAUUUCAACCCUUAAGCCCUGUUGCUUAGCGUUGGGAGCCUACAGUACUGUAGCUCCCCAAAGUUAGUGGCGGAGUCGGUUUCACACUCUAGACGUAGUAAAUUUUUCUCGUCUGUAGUUGAGCCGGUCCCCUGCCGUAAAACACCCAAUUUAUCAAGGUUGACCUCGGAUCAGGUAGGAAUACCCGCUGAACUUAAGCAUAUCAAUAACGGAGA